GCGUGCCUAAUACAUGCAAGUCGAGCGAACAGAUGAGGAGCUUGCUCCUCUGACGUUAGCGGCGGACGGGUGAGUAACACGUGGAUAACCUACCUAUAAGACUGGGAUAACUUCGGGAAACCGGAGCUAAUACCGGAUAAUAUAUUGAACCGCAUGGUUCAAUAGUGAAAGACGGUUUUGCUGUCACUUAUAGAUGGAUCCGCGCCGCAUUAGCUAGUUGGUAAGGUAACGGCUUACCAAGGCAACGAUGCGUAGCCGACCUGAGAGGGUGAUCGGCCACACUGGAACUGAGACACGGUCCAGACUCCUACGGGAGGCAGCAGUAGGGAAUCUUCCGCAAUGGGCGAAAGCCUGACGGAGCAACGCCGCGUGAGUGAUGAAGGUCUUCGGAUCGUAAAACUCUGUUAUUAGGGAAGAACAAAUGUGUAAGUAACUAUGCACGUCUUGACGGUACCUAAUCAGAAAGCCACGGCUAACUACGUGCCAGCAGCCGCGGUAAUACGUAGGUGGCAAGCGUUAUCCGGAAUUAUUGGGCGUAAAGCGCGCGUAGGCGGUUUUUUAAGUCUGAUGUGAAAGCCCACGGCUCAACCGUGGAGGGUCAUUGGAAACUGGAAAACUUGAGUGCAGAAGAGGAAAGUGGAAUUCCAUGUGUAGCGGUGAAAUGCGCAGAGAUAUGGAGGAACACCAGUGGCGAAGGCGACUUUCUGGUCUG
Molecule: ribosomal RNA, 712 nt
Filed under: uncultured Staphylococcus sp.
Lineage: Bacteria; Bacillati; Bacillota; Bacilli; Caryophanales; Staphylococcaceae
Description: bacterial SSU rRNA
Rfam family: Bacterial small subunit ribosomal RNA
Source: RNAcentral